This 312-nucleotide long non-coding RNA is filed under the name Gallus gallus (chicken). The record is from RNAcentral. Lineage: Eukaryota; Metazoa; Chordata; Aves; Galliformes; Phasianidae.
CUUUCACUAUCAGCUCUUAAAGAAAGCAUAUGAGGAAUCAAACUCAGUUGUUCAUCGUAUGAACAAGAUUUCUAAGCAGGAGAACUGACAGCUGAAUGCAGACAGUGCCCUUCUUGUCUUGGCAGAAAUGUUGUCAACAACGUGAUGCAGUGGAUCUGUGUACCCUUAGAGAGGAUUCCUUUGCCCAAAUAAGAACAACUAAAAGCCAGGCAUGACUGCUCUGGGUUCCCUUUGCAGCCCUGAUUUAUUGCAUCCUAAGAUCCUUCAGACCUACCAUCAAGUCGCCAGCCCCAAAACACUCUCUGUGGAAAC